Molecule: RNA transcript, 3389 nt
Organism: Mauremys mutica (yellowpond turtle)
Lineage: Eukaryota; Metazoa; Chordata; Testudines; Geoemydidae
Gene: NINJ2
Gene name: ninjurin 2
Exons: 6
Source: RefSeq, a predicted model, not a curated record
GGAGCCCAUGACUGGCUGUGGUGGGUGAUGACUCCUGAGAGCUGGCCUGAAGAGAAGGCAAAGUGCUCCCCCGUGGAGGAGCCCCACCAGAUGCCGGUAGGAAGUAGUCCAGGGAAAUCAGACUUUGGUCCUGUUGUGUUGCCAGGAGACCAUUCAGCAUUUUGAAGACAAAGAAUUUGUAUGCCACCCCUUUCUUCCCCCGCACUCUCGUGCCAAGACGGGCGUCUCACAUCAGGCAGAUGAAUAGCAGGUCUGUUUCAGCAGCUGUGCUCUCCUACCCAGGGAAGCAUUAUAGAGUCCCUGGGACUGCAGAGUCCCAAGCUACUGUGCAGUCUGCAGAAGGCUGAGGAAGAGACCUAAGGGCAAAAGAAUGGCAUCAGAAGGGGAAAUCAUCAACCUUCAAGCGGGGAAUCCUGGCUCAAGGAGGGACAAUCCAAUCAACAUCAACCACUAUGCAACUAAGAAGAGUGUGGCAGAAAGUAUGCUGGAUGUGGCGCUGUUCAUGGCCAAUGUCACACAACUCAAAGCAGUGCUGGAGCAGGGGGUUUCAUUCCAGUAUUAUGCCACCCUGAUAUCGCUCAUCAGCAUCUCUCUCUUCUUCCAGGUGGUGAUUGGAAUUCUUCUUAUCAUCAUUGCUCGGCUGAACCUGAAUGAUGUGUCAAAGCAGCAUCGCCUGAACGUGCUCAAUAACACUGCCACGGCUCUGAUCUUCAUCACUGUCAUCCUCAACAUCUUCAUCACUGGCUUUGGCGUGCAGAAGACUGGUCUCUACCCUACCAGGAGACGUUACUGAGGCUUGGAGCGCAAGGGAAUCAGAAUCAGUCAGGACUGGUUCAUAGAAUGCUUUGAGAUUCUUCAGCUUGAAAAGCAUGAAAUAGCAUUGUAAGGCCUCUAAAUGCUGCCAUAAGCCCUGAUCCUGCAACACUUAUGCGCAUGUUAACUACAAGCACAGAAGUCAUCCUAUUGGACUAGAAUGAUGCAGUGCUAGAAGAGGUUGUGUGUGUGGCACCAACUUUAGGGUCCCUUCUUUCAAUUUUUUUUUUACUGACCUCAGCAGAAUCCUACCAGCUGAGUGGAGACAGAGAACUGAAUUACUCUUUAAAAAUUGUUUGCAAAGUAUUUUAUGCAGGUUGUUUGUAUAAAGCAUGUGUAGCUUUGCAGGAAAGAAAUUUCCAUUGAUUUUUUUCAACGCUAGUGCAAGCUGUGCAGUGAUUUCUAGAGAGCUUCACAAAAAGUUGCAAAAAAGCAUUUUCCAAACAUGCUCCUGUGCAUAGGUAACAACAAACUUUUCUCUGAUUUUAAUUCUCUGCUUCUCAUAUUCAGUAUUAACUAAUUUUAGUUCCAGGUUGAGUUAUAUUUAUUUGGUAAGCAAAACUAACCAUACCGUGUCCAGAUAUUUUGUAACUGGCAACACUUAAAGUAACACUAUCAAACAGUUUAUGUCUCAAAUAUAGGUUGGUUGGUUGGUUGUUUUUGUGGGAGGAAAGGAGCGGGUGAGUGUGUUAUGAUGACUCAUAGGAAUAAAAAUGUUUUCUUCAAGGUUGCUUAAAAAAAAAAUCAAAUGAGAUGUUUUUUGAAAACCAUUGAACAUUCCUCUGCAGUGCAGGAAACCUAAACCCCACAGCAAAUAGAUACUUAUGCUUAGAUACCACCACAAGGACCUUGUUAGAAAUCCUCUAUGGAUAACAUGGGGGUACUGUAGGAGAAAUAGGAAAUGAAGCUGACUAAACACAGAAAGUGAAACAGACCAGUCUAGCUUCACUUGUCUACAUUAACUGAGGUGCAAAAAGUAAACAAACAGCAUAUACAUGUUCAAGAGCAAACUGGGUUUAAACCUUUUUUUGGUGUUAUAAUUAAAGGUUAUCAGUAACAGGUAUGCUGUUAAAUACAUGAUUUUUAUCCUGCUAGUUCUGAUGAGAAUUCUACUGUAUUGGAAAGUGGUUUUACACAACCUCAAAGCAGUAAUGAAAAGAAAAAGUAUCUUCAGAUCAUUCUGAGUUAUUUAGCAGGUUCUUUCUGGCAGCCUGAUUUUUGGAUUAUUGGUGUUAAGUCAAAAAUAUCCAAUUUUUGAGUGUGUCAGUUAUUUGCAUACUUGAGUACUAUGUUUUCCUGUUUAUUAAAUGAUUUUUCACUCAACGACAGAGUCAGAUUUCAAUAUGGGUGAAAUCCUAUGUAUCCAAGAAACUGAUAGAAAAUUCCUAAGGUUGACAUGUACAUUCCCAUCACAGCUGGAUAGGAAAGGAAAGGCAACAGUAACUGCAUGAUGAUAUUCACAUAUUCUCCUCAGAAGAGCUUCUAAGAGAUACUGGAUAGUGCUAAUAUGGCUGUUGCUGGCAUGACUUUGGCAGGUGUCACUGUUUACCUCCCACAAGCUGAGCUGACCUCCUGUGUGUUUGACUUUUCAGAUCUCCUUCAAGAAAUCUACUCUGUUGCAUUUCAAUUUAAAUCGGAGGUAUUAGCUUCAUCCUGGAGACAGGGGCAAAUGACAUUUCUGUAGCGUGUUCCACCCAUGAAUUAGCUGACUAUAGAAAAGCAGAGGCAUCAUUACAUUUCUAACUCUCCAGUAAUUUGCUUUAUAGGAUAUUGCCUACUGAUCCUUCUGAGGGUUCUUCUAUAGGCAAAAGCCCUAUGGUGGGUAUUUCUUAGUAGUAGCCAUGACAGACUGUUUAGAUUUUCUUGCUUCAGAUUAUACACACAAUAAUAUUAAUGAUUACUUUGUAGUCAUCCACCUUUGGUUAUUUUGCCCAGGGGUAACUAAAGCUGCCUCAUCUACAUGCUAGAGGCACCGUCUCUAAAAGUUAGAGGGUUGUUUGCUCUCUGUGGUUAUUUCAUUCCUUGGCCUCUCUAUGGAGCCAGCCAAGAAGUUGCUAGCAGGCGCAGCAGUGAGGAUUUAUGAGGUGGAUAUUUCCCCACUAGCAGCUAGACUGAGGCUAUUUCAGACAGGCCACCAAGGAACUAUCAGGUCAUGGCUUUCAACUACUACUGACCUGACUGGGUUUAGGCAAAGGUGACAAGCUUCAUAUCCUUUUCUCAGGUGCAAACCACCCACUCCCUCAUGGCCACAGCCUGCUCCACAGAGCCAGCGGCUGAGCAGUAAUGGCUGAAUGUCAAACAAAUGACUCAGCAGAGGAGGAAGAGUUAACUUGGAUGGCCUUCUCUCUCACAGAGAUGCCAAGCCAUGUAGUGCUGCAUGUGAGGCAUAUUUGUGUGGGGACUGCUUCCCAUUACUGAACAUGACACAGCAGGAGACCAGCACACAGUGGGCAGGGGUGGUCUGCCCUUUAUCACCUCUCAAUCAUGGAGUCAGAAGCACUGGCACUCCUGGCUGCCUUCUCACUUCUAUGUAUCAGACCUCAGCUCUGUUCUGACCUGCUUGCACUCCCAUAGGC